Molecule: long non-coding RNA, 300 nt
Organism: Phalaenopsis equestris
Lineage: Eukaryota; Viridiplantae; Streptophyta; Magnoliopsida; Asparagales; Orchidaceae
Exons: 3
Source: RefSeq, a predicted model, not a curated record
AAGCAAAGAGGGUUGUAAGGUAAUUAUCUUUGGGAUUAGCAUUAAUUGAAGAUCAUGGCAACCCCAGCUCAAAUUCCACCUAAUAAAUUUACAUAUAUAUGGUCGAAUGCUUGGAACAACCAGCCUGAUGGGUCAAAAUAUUAUUCUGGGGGAAGCUACUUCUUUAUUGGCCAACGCGGAAAGGUCCGAGAGCUUGGUCUUAACCCAAACAGCCCAUAUAAAUUUUCCUAUACAUUCAAGUAUAACCUAGAUGAUCCCAUCCAAGUUACUCUACUUGUUAAGGGCAAUGGUCUGUACACA